Molecule: ribosomal RNA, 492 nt
Filed under: uncultured bacterium
Lineage: Bacteria
Description: partial 16S ribosomal RNA
Rfam family: Bacterial small subunit ribosomal RNA
Source: RNAcentral
AGUGAACGCUGGCGGUAGGCCUAACACAUGCAAGUCGAACGGCAGCACAGUAAGAGCUUGCUCUUACGGGUGGCGAGUGGCGGACGGGUGAGGAAUACAUCGGAAUCUACUUUUUCGUGGGGGAUAACGUAGGGAAACUUACGCUAAUACCGCAUACGACCUACGGGUGAAAUCAGGGGAUCUUCGGACCUUGCGCGAUUGAAUGAGCCGAUGUCGGAUUAGCUAGUUGGCGGGGUAAAGGCCCACCAAGGCGACGAUCCGUAGCUGGUCUGAGAGGAUGAUCAGCCACACUGGAACUGAGACACGGUCCAGACUCCUACGGGAGGCAGCAGUGGGGAAUAUUGGACAAUGGGCGAAAGCCUGACCCAGCCAUACCGCGUGGGCGAAGAAGGCCUUCGGGCUGUAAAGCCCUUUUGUUGGGAAAGAAAAGCAGUAGGUUAAUACCCCGCUGUUCUGACGGUACCCAAAGAAUAAGCACCGGCUAACUUCGUG